AGAGUUUGAUCCUGGCUCAGAUUGAACGCUGGCGGCGUGCCUAACACAUGCAAGUCGAGCGGUAGCAGGUGUAGCAAUACAUGCUGACGAGCGGCGAACGGGUGAGUAAUGCUUCGGAAUCUACCCACGGGUGGGGAAUAACCAACCGAAAGGUUGGCUAAUACCGCAUAAGUCCUACGGGGGAAAGCGGGGGAUCGAAAGACCUCGCGCCGGUGGAUGAGCCGAAGCCGGAUUAGCUAGUUGGUAGGGUAAUGGCCUA
Molecule: ribosomal RNA, 259 nt
Filed under: uncultured prokaryote
Description: partial 16S ribosomal RNA
Rfam family: Bacterial small subunit ribosomal RNA
Source: RNAcentral